AGAGAGAGAGACAGAGAGAAAGAGAGAGAUACAUACGUUCUCAGUUCUCAUCACACAUUAACCUGCGAUGUCGAGUUGAUCGUUUAAUUCCCGUUUGAUUGAUGCUCGCGGAGCCCCUUUUUAAAUAAAACGGACCAGAGCACUAAAUAUGGCCAGCAAAGUAUGGCAUACAGAAUUGUGGAAGUCAUGGGAUAAACACGGAAGAAACGAUUUCCUCAAGCUAAUCAAGCACAAAUUUAAGGAAGGCAACGCACCAGAAUGGAAGCGCGGAUUAUACGAAUUAAUCUCAAAUGGAAUCCAUGGGAAUGUAAAAAAGGACAGUGUAGUACAGACAUUAGGUGAACUUACGAAUUUUGAUGGUGCAAUACCAUCUGCAAUAGUAGAUAUAUUUACUUUAAUCGAUGCAGAAGCACAUAAUGAAGAAAGGAACAAUUUUUAUUAUAUUGUGAAAGAGUCUGAAAAGUUUUUGACCGACAGAAUAUUGAAAGAACGUUUAGAGAUUGAAACUUUGCAAGAUGUAGGAACAUUAAAAAACAAAAAUUUUCAAACCAAGUUUAUAAAAGUAAAAACAAAAUUAUAUUAUAAGCAGAGAAAAUUUAAUUUAUUUCGUGAAGAGAGCGAGGGUUACUCCAAGCUCAUUGUAGAAUUAAAUCAAGAACGUCCAGGCAACGAAGUAGCCUCGACACUGGAAAUCGUUAAAUCUCUUAUUGGUUAUUUUAAUCUUGAUCCUAAUAGAGUACUCGACAUCUUGCUAGAAACUUUUGAAAACCGACCGCAAGAUGAUGCUCUAUUUAUUCCCUUAAUACGCUCGUACAUGAGUGAUCAACAGGUACUUUGCGAGGUGUUAGGAUUUAAAUACUGUUCCACCGUCGACGCUACGCCAUUCUCGCUGCAAAAGGUCACCGCGCUUAUGCUGCAGCACAAUGUGAUUAAACUGGACGAUAUAUUACCUUGGCUAGUGCCAAAUGAUAAAACUAUUAUAUUAGAUCACGAACAGGCGAUGAAGCAGGCUAAGGAGUAUGUGCGAAAAUUAAGCGUGAUCUCAACAAAGGACAAAGAGGAUGUUGUGGAAGAGAAGGACAAUGCACAAGACAAAUAUGCAAACAAUCAAAAAUUUGUAUUAUGUGAAGCCCUUCUGGAAAUCGGAGCUUGGGAAGUGGCACAAAGCUUAUUCAAUCGUUUGCCAGAUUGCUGUUUCACUGAUCAACGUCCCAUAGCUUUAGCGUUGUGCAAAAUGAUUCAGGCUCUUAUCGAACCCGUAUAUAGGAAGCAUUGCAUUGUUUCCCCCAAAUUGCCGGGUCGUAAAGUGUCUCCCUUAAAAAGUGCUCUCGCACCACCACUGAUACACAAUCUAGAGGAUAUUCACGAGCAUUUGUUGCCGAUGCUGAUCGUGCUUGGGCCGAAUCUACACCACGAUCCUAUUCUAAUGUAUAAGGUGAUGAGGCUGUGUCAUACUGCUAUCAAGCACUGUCCGCUCGACGCGGGCAAACAACCGUUGAACAAGAACUGCAGCUUAUAUUACGACGUAUUGACAAUCCUCGACGUCGCGCUGCUACCCUCGCUCUCCUUCAUGGAUUGCAAUUGUUGCGUCGCUGAAGAAUUGUGGAACAUUCUAAAAUAUUAUCCCUAUCAAAAUCGCUACUGUCUGUACGCGCGCUGGAAGAACGACACUCCGUUACAGCACGCAGCCCUGUUACGGAAACGGGCGGACGCCCAAAAAAAGAUCAAGUCUAUCAUGAAACGCGUGAGCAAGGAGACGAUCAAGCCGGUCGGCCGAUCGAUAGGGAAACUUACGCAUUCUUCACCGGGUGUAUUGUUCGAUUAUGUUCUGAUACAGAUCCAAUUAUACGAUAACCUUAUAGGGCCUGUAGUAGACUCCUUAAAAUACUUGACAAAUAUUUCGUACGACGUGUUAGGGUACUGUCUUGUGGAGGCAUUAGCAGGUGCUGACAGGGAUAGAUUUAAACACGACGGCACCAGUAUAUCCUUAUGGUUGCAGUCUCUGGCUUCCUUUUGCGGAGCGAUAUUUAAGAAAUAUAACAUCGAAUUAACGGGAUUAUUACAAUAUGUAGCGAAUCAACUUAAAGCUCAAAAGAGCCUAGAUCUACUGAUAUUGAAAGAGAUAGUACAAAAGAUGGCCGGUAUCGAGGCAGCCGAAGAAAUGACAUCUGAUCAAUUAGAUGCAAUGGCGGGUGGUGAUUUGUUGAAAAAUGAGGCCGGUUACUUCAGUCAAGUCCGCAACACGAAGAAAUCUUCACAGCGUUUGAAGGAAGCUCUCGCCGAGCACGAUCUCGCAGUCGCCUUAUGCUUGCUAAUGGCACAACAGAAACACUGCGUCGUUUACAGAGAGACGGACAAAUCUCAUCUGAAACUUGUUGGCAAGUUGUACGAUCAGUGUCAAGAUACACUGGUACAAUUUGGAACGUUUCUGGGCUCAACUAUGACGGUGGACGAGUAUGUGGAGCGACUGCCUUCAAUUCAUUCUAUGCUCCAAGAUAAUCACAUACACUCGGAUGUCGCAUUUUUUCUGGCGAGGCCAAUGUUUGCACAUGCCAUAAAUAUAAAAUAUGAUGCCCUUCGUAAAGCCGAUCCGAAUUAUAAGAAAAUGUCCACGGCUAUGAAGCAAUUGAAAUAUGCGGAAGCCGCGCAAGCUGUUAUGGCACCCGUCGCUCAGUCAGUCAGACCGUUGCACCCUCUAAAAGUAUGGGAGGACAUAUCACCACAAUUCUUAGUCACAUUUUGGUCCCUGUCGAUGUACGAUUUGUAUGUACCGGUGGAAAGCUAUCAAAGGGAAAUCAGCAAGUUGAAACAACUCGCGGCACAGACGGCCGAUUCCAAAGAUAUGAAUAUAAGUAAAGGAAAAAAGGAACAAGAAAGGUAUACUACUCUGAUUGAAAAGCUGCAGGACGAAAAGAAGAAGCAAGAGGAACAUGUCGAAAAAGUAUUUGCGUACCUGAGACAAGAGAAGGAUACAUGGUUCUUGUCACGAAGCGCCAAGUCUGCGAAGAAUGAGACGAUAACGCAAUUUCUGCAGUUGUGCCUAUUUCCGCGGUGUACAUUCACAACUGUGGACGCCAUGUACUGUGCGAAAUUUGUACAUACCAUCCACUCCUUGAAAACUGCAAAUUUUUCGACCCUGCUUUGCUACGAUCGUCUUUUCUGUGAUAUUACCUAUUCAGUUACUUCAUGCACAGAGAACGAAGCAAAUCGAUAUGGCAGAUUUUUGUGCGCCAUGUUGGAGACUGUGAUGAGGUGGCAUUCCGAGAAAGCCAUAUUCGAUAAGGAAUGCAGUAAUUAUCCCGGAUUCGUGACCAAGUUUCGCGUGAGCAAUCAAUUUUCUGAAGCGAAUGAUAUGGUCGGAUUUGAAAAUUACAGACAUGUGUGUCACAAAUGGCAUUACAAAAUCACAAAGGCUAUUGUAGUAUGUUUAGAUUCUAAAGAUUAUGUGCAAAUAAGGAAUUCUUUGAUAAUACUGAUCAAGAUAUUGCCACAUUUUCCUGUCUUGGCAAAACUCUCUCAGAUCCUUGAGCGAAAAGUAGAAAAAGUGAGAGAGGAAGAGCGUGGCCAACGCCAGGACUUGCAUGUUCUGGCUACAUCGUACAGUGGACAACUAAAGGCUAAAACUCCCAAUAUGAUACGCGAAUCGGAUUUCCAUCACGUGGGCGACAAGACUGGAAAGGUAGCAGAUACUGCGAAUAAUGAUACAAAUGAAAAAGUUAGCAAUGGAGUAGCGGCGAAAGAAAAUAAUGGAGAAACUCGGCCCGAAAAAGAAAAUAAGGAGCAACGAGAAAAACGAAGUUCGUCCAACCAAACGCAUCAUGAAAACUCUGAAAAGUUCAGAAAGAAAGAAGACAGUAAGGACGUCUCAGAAGCAAAAGAGAAAUAUAUCAAGAAGGAAGAGGUGAAAGAGGAUGAGGGAUUAGAUAAAAAGGAUCGCAAAUAUUAUAAGGAGGAACAUUAUUAUAGCAGUGGUAUAGAUAAUUUAGACCGAGAUCUUUCCAGUGUGUCAAAUAGUAGCGCUAGUUCGGGACCUACGCAAGAAGGUCCUGAGAGAGUUUCAGAUGUAAAAAGAAGAAAAGUAGAGAGUGCCCCAAAGCAGGAAGGGAGACGUGUGGAGGCUAUACUUGAUAAAAAAGAACGUUCCAGCAAAGGAAAAACGCGUGACGAACAGAAGGAGCAGCGUAGGGAAAAGAAACAAGGACGGAAAAGGGAUCGGACGGAAGAAUCUAUGGUAAUUACUGAACAAAAACGAAGAAAAGAUGAUGAGAGAGCCAAAAGUACGCAUCAGAACGGUGACAUUCCUGAACAUAGAGAGAAGCAUCAUUACAGUAAGUUGAUAAAGAUGUCUACUACAAGUACAUUAAAAGGACGAAAUGGACGCCUAUAAGAAAAAAAAAGAAAAAAAAAACUUUCAAGUAUCCCCAAUGUCGCAAGAAAUCACGGCAUUCGGGAAAUUUAUUCAAGAAUGUAUUUUCAGGAAAAAUCUCCAUACGCAAAGGAUCGACCUCACGAACGCGAAGGACGCGAAAGCCGUGACAAACAGAAAAAGCACAAUUGCUCGGUAUGAUCCUUAAUUCAAGUGCACUAGAAGAAGUUCAGACCCAAAACGAAGAUGAUGUACAACAACCGAAGGGAGCUCGACUUAACAUUUUUUAUGCUAUGUUUGAUGUUGCAUGUAAUGAACGUAGAAUUCGAAAUAAAGCAAAAAAAAUAG
This is an RNA transcript of Formica exsecta, 4714 nucleotides long. It is a transcript of the gene named THO complex subunit 2, with no coding region annotated. The transcript is spliced from 29 exons. The record is from RefSeq and is a predicted model, not a curated record. NCBI's taxonomy places the organism in Eukaryota, Metazoa, Arthropoda, Insecta, Hymenoptera, Formicidae.